This 223-nucleotide ribosomal RNA is filed under the name uncultured bacterium. RNAcentral describes it as "partial 16S ribosomal RNA". It matches the Rfam family "Bacterial small subunit ribosomal RNA", at positions 127 to 334 of the family's 1533-position model. The record is from RNAcentral.
CGCCCUUCAGAGGGGGACAACAGUUGGAAACGACUGCUAAUACCGCAUACGAUCUAAUCUCGGCAUCGAGGAUGGAUGAAAGGUGGCCUCUAUUUAUAAGCUAUCACUGAAGGAGGGGAUUGCGUCUGAUUAGCUAGUUGGAGGGGUAACGGCCCACCAGGGCGAUGAUCAGUAGCCGGUCUGAGAGGAUGAACGGCCACAUUGGGACUGAGACACGGCCCAG